Molecule: ribosomal RNA, 497 nt
Filed under: uncultured bacterium
Lineage: Bacteria
Description: partial 16S ribosomal RNA
Rfam family: Bacterial small subunit ribosomal RNA
Source: RNAcentral
GACGAACGCUGGCGGCGUGCCUAAUACAUGCAAGUUGAGCGCUGAAGGUUGGUACUUGUACCAACUGGAUGAGCAGCGAACGGGUGAGUAACGCGUGGGGAAUCUGCCUUUGAGCGGGGGACAACAUUUGGAAACGAAUGCUAAUACCGCAUAAAAACUUUAAACACAAGUUUUAAGUUUGAAAGAUGCAAUUGCAUCACUCAAAGAUGAUCCCGCGUUGUAUUAGCUAGUUGGUGAGGUAAAGGCUCACCAAGGCGAUGAUACAUAGCCGGCCUGAGAGGGUGAUCGGCCACAUGGGGACUGAGACACGGCCCAAACUCCUACGGGAGGCAGCAGUAGGGAAUCUUCGGCAAUGGACGAAAGUCUGACCGAGCAACGCCGCGUGAGUGAAGAAGGUUUUCGGAUCGUAAAACCCUGUUGGUAGAGAAGAACGUUGGUGAGAGUGGAAAGCUCAUCAAGUGACGGUAACUACCCAGAAAGGGACGGCUAACUACGUG